AUAGUCAAUUUUAUCGGUCUG
This 21-nucleotide microRNA is filed under the name Arabidopsis thaliana (thale cress). Its description in RNAcentral is "ath-miR5664". Lineage: Eukaryota; Viridiplantae; Streptophyta; Magnoliopsida; Brassicales; Brassicaceae. The record is from miRBase by way of RNAcentral.